RNAcentral lists this ribosomal RNA (347 nucleotides) under uncultured bacterium. Its description in RNAcentral is "bacterial SSU rRNA". It matches the Rfam family "Bacterial small subunit ribosomal RNA", at positions 527 to 873 of the family's 1533-position model. The record is from RNAcentral.
GUAGGGUGCGAGCGUUAAUCGGAAUUACUGGGCGUAAAGCGUGCGCAGGCGGUUUUGUAAGACAGAUGUGAAAUCCCCGGGCUUAACCUGGGAACUGCGUUUGUGACUGCAAGACUCGAGUGUGGCAGAGGGGGGUGGAAUUCCACGUGUAGCAGUGAAAUGCGUAGAGAUGUGGAGGAACACCGAUGGCGAAGGCAGCCCCCUGGGUCAACACUGACGCUCAUGCACGAAAGCGUGGGUAGCAAACAGGAUUAGAUACCCUGGUAGUCCACGCCCUAAACGAUGCCAACUAGGUGUUGGGGAAGGAGACUUCCUUAGUACCGUACKAACGCGUGAAGUUGGCCGCC